This 1001-nucleotide ribosomal RNA is filed under the name Vibrio sp. RNAcentral's name for it is "bacterial SSU rRNA". It matches the Rfam family "Bacterial small subunit ribosomal RNA", at positions 34 to 1014 of the family's 1533-position model. The record is from RNAcentral. Lineage: Bacteria; Pseudomonadati; Pseudomonadota; Gammaproteobacteria; Vibrionales; Vibrionaceae.
CGGCCUUGCGGGCGGCCUAAACAUGCAAGUCGAGCGGAACGAGUUAUCUGAACCUUCGGGGAACGAUAACGGCGUCGAGCGGCGGACGGGUGAGUAAUGCCUAGGAAAUUGCCCUGAUGUGGGGGAUAACCAUUGGAAACGAUGGCUAAUACCGCAUAAUGCCUACGGGCCAAAGAGGGGGACCUUCGGGCCUCUCGCGUCAGGAUAUGCCUAGGUGGGAUUAGCUAGUUGGUGAGGUAAUGGCUCACCAAGGCGACGAUCCCUAGCUGGUCUGAGAGGAUGAUCAGCCACACUGGAACUGAGACACGGUCCAGACUCCUACGGGAGGCAGCAGUGGGGAAUAUUGCACAAUGGGCGCAAGCCUGAUGCAGCCAUGCCGCGUGUGUGAAGAAGGCCUUCGGGUUGUAAAGCACUUUCAGUCGUGAGGAAGGUGGUGUAGUUAAUAGCUGCAUUAUUUGACGUUAGCGACAGAAGAAGCACCGGCUAACUCCGUGCCAGCAGCCGCGGUAGUACGGAGGGUGCGAGCGUUAAUCGGAAUUACUGGGCGUAAAGCGCAUGCAGGUGGUUUGUUAAGUCAGAUGUGAAAGCCCGGGGCUCAACCUCGGAAUAGCAUUUGAAACUGGCAGACUAGAGUACUGUAGAGGGGGGUAGAAUUUCAGGUGUAGCGGUGAAAUGCGUAGAGAUCUGAAGGAAUACCGGUGGCGAAGGCGGCCCCCUGGACAGAUACUGACACUCAGAUGCGAAAGCGUGGGGAGCAAACAGGAUUAGAUACCCUGGUAGUCCACGCCGUAAACGAUGUCUACUUGGAGGUUGUGGCCUUGAGCCGUGGCUUUCGGAGCUAACGCGUUAAGUAGACCGCCUGGGGAGUACGGUCGCCAGAUUAAAACUCAAAUGAAUUGACGGGGGCCCGCACAAGCGGUGGAGCAUGUGGUUUAAUUCGAUGCAACGCGAAGAACCUUACCUACUCUUGACAUCCAGAGAACUUUCCAGAGAUGGAUUGG